Molecule: long non-coding RNA, 381 nt
Organism: Quercus lobata
Lineage: Eukaryota; Viridiplantae; Streptophyta; Magnoliopsida; Fagales; Fagaceae
Exons: 2
Source: RefSeq, a predicted model, not a curated record
UGUAGUUGAUAGAUAUCACCAACAUCAAUUUUCACUCAAGUAACGAGACUGUUGAAUAUGAUGUAGUCGAAAUCAAUAGGGGCGGCAGCGGAGUGGGCAAUUGUUUAUGAAAAAGUCUACAGUACCAAAGAUGGGACUCCUGUUACUGCCUAAGUGAGAGAGAACAUUGCUAGGAUGAAAGAAAUUUUGAAUGAAGAGGGCACACCACUACGAGGAGAGCAUGGUGGUGGAAUCCUAUGGUCUAAAGAUGAUGCGUUUGCUCGAGUGACGGGUUUAGAGCGCUGUGGACUUGUAUGUGGGGUGAGUUUUGGACCAACCACAUCAGGAAGAAGUGGGUUAAACCUUUCACGGUAUACAUUGACUCCACCGUCUCAAGCAAAA